AGAGCUGUGCUGCCCAUGGGAGUCCAGAGAAGGAGCACACUAAGGACCAACACCAGAGAGAAGACAGCUGUCUGCAAACCAGAAAGAGAGUCCUCACUGCACUUCAUAUCUGCCAAUGGAUCCUUGCUCUUGAACCUCCCAACCUGCAGAAUCAUGAGAAACAAACAUUGUGUAAGCCACCCACUCUACAGUAAUUUGUUCUAGCAGACCGAGCUGACUGAGGUAUGGUCUCAUCACGUAACCACUUUUAACCUUAGUCUUUCUAUCUGUAAAGUAAGUGGGUUAGAGAAAUCAUUCUAGAAGAUGUUUCUGCUUUAAAACAAAUUCUUCUAUUUCCUUUCCAAUGUGAAGUUUGGGUGGU
Molecule: long non-coding RNA, 361 nt
Organism: Homo sapiens (human)
Lineage: Eukaryota; Metazoa; Chordata; Mammalia; Primates; Hominidae
Source: Ensembl